CCAAACCUAUAACCGGUACGGGCCGUGAGAGCGGGAAGCCCGGAGAUGGGCACUUAGACAAGGGCCCAGGUCCUACGGGGCGCAGCAGGUACGAAAACUUGUCAAUGCACGAAAGUGUGAACGGGCUACCCCGAGUGCUGUCCGCUGAGGAUAGCUUUUCUCUGCUGUAAGAAGGCGGAGGAAUAAGGGGAGGGCAAGCCUGGUGUCAGCCGCCGCGGUAAUACCAGCUCCUCGAGUGGUGGGGAUGAUUAUUGGGCCUAAAGCGUUCGUAGCCGGCUCAACAAGUCUUUUGUUAAACCCAACGAUCUAAUCGUUGGUCUGCAGAAGAUACUGUUGGGCUAGGGGGCGGGAGAAGUCGGCGGUACUCUCGAGGUAGGGGUGAAAUCCUAUAAUCCCGGGAGGACCACCAGUGGCGAAGGCGGUCGACUAGAACGCGCCCUGACGGUGAGGGACGAAAAGCUGGGGGAGCGAACCGGAUUAGAUACCCGGGUAGUCCC
RNAcentral lists this ribosomal RNA (497 nucleotides) under uncultured crenarchaeote. RNAcentral describes it as "bacterial SSU rRNA". It matches the Rfam family "Archaeal small subunit ribosomal RNA", at positions 252 to 748 of the family's 1478-position model. Lineage: Archaea; Thermoproteati; Thermoproteota. The record is from RNAcentral.